This 305-nucleotide ribosomal RNA is filed under the name uncultured bacterium. RNAcentral describes it as "partial 16S ribosomal RNA". It matches the Rfam family "Bacterial small subunit ribosomal RNA", at positions 333 to 655 of the family's 1533-position model. The record is from RNAcentral.
UAUGUCCUACGGGGCGCAGCAGUGGGGGAUAUUGCACAAUGGGGGGAACCCUGAUGCAGCGACGCCGCGUGGGUGAAGAAGCGCCUCGGCGCGUAAAGCCCUGUCAGCAGGGAAGAAAAUGACGGUACCUGAAGAAGAAGCCCCGGCUAACUACGUGCCAGCAGCCGCGGUAAUACGUAGGGGGCAAGCGUUAUCCGGAUUUACUGGGUGUAAAGGGGGCGCAGACGGCGAUGCAAGCCAGGAGUGAAAGCCCGGGGGCCAACCCCGGGACUGCUAUUGGAUCUGCGUGGCUGGAGGGCAGGGGG